Felis catus (domestic cat) is the source of this 4263-nucleotide long non-coding RNA. RefSeq lists it as uncharacterized. The record is from RefSeq and is a predicted model, not a curated record. The transcript has 3 exons. NCBI's taxonomy places the organism in Eukaryota, Metazoa, Chordata, Mammalia, Carnivora, Felidae.
GCUGCAGAGACAACAAAAAUGCAAUUUAUCCUACGUACAAUAACUUGGGAGUUAAAAUUUUCUUUUUCUACCACCACUUAGAAAGAAGUUCAAUAUUACGCCUUCGAAAAUGUAAAAUACUCCCAAGAAUGACGUAAACAUGUAACGAGGCACAUGUGCCAGUGCCACCCUACAGUUCUCCUGAGAGAAAGCUUGCCUGCUGCCCCCUUACUGACAGUCUGACCGUGCUUCAACAUUUCUGCUUGCCCAACAGCACAUCUUCUGUCCUCUGCCGGCCUCUGGAGGACCCUGGACUUCUACCAGCAGCUCCGAUUUCCAGCUUCCCCCCGCUUCUGCACUUAGCUCUGUCCACUCAUCUACCCUUCCCUCCCAGCAGGCCAGCUCAUCCCUCAGAUGGGCACUGACACCCUUAAAAGAUGGGUUCUGAGCAGAAGCAAAUGAAUUCGAGGCUCUGGGCUGGAAGAUGGUGUGGUCCCUCGGUCGGGAGGUCACUCCAGUCCGUCAGGGAGCACACCACCAGGUGGAAGAGGCGGGGGCUGCAGAGGGCACAGGCGGGAGCCUAAGCCAGACGGGACUGGAAGGGCUUCCCUGAGGAGAAACCCGAGUAGAGACCCAACAGAAAAUCACAAGUGUACGAACAGUGUACGAGACAAGAACAAAAGUCAGCAACUAAACAAACUGACCCAGCUUCAGGCGUUCGAACCACCCAUGUCUUAACUCUAUGGUUUCACACCUAAGGCCUCCGGUGGUGAAGAGGCUUUAUUUUUACAACUGAGCAGACUUCUACUCCUUCAGUGUUCUGGAAAGGGCCAGAAAGUAAGCAGUUCAGGCUGUACGGUCACACGGUCUCUGUCCCAACUCCUGGGCUCUGCCGCUGACACACGAGAGCAGCCGCACACAGGAUGUAGUCGAGAGAGUGGCCGUGUCCCAGCGAAACCUCACGUACAAACACUGGUGGUGCCGCCACAGCCAGCCAGAGCCUGUGCUGCCAGGGCCCUCCGCACUCCACUCUCGUGCUCUUUCUAACCACAGGAGCCCGACUUUGCUCUUCUGCUCAAACCCCCGAUGACCUGUCACUGCUCUCGGGCUAAAGUCCAGGCUCCCUAGUGUGAACACCAGGGCCUUCCCGCUCCGGUCUAACUUCCCUGCCUUCCCACUCACUGCUCCUCGGCACACAGGGCCUGCUCGCGCCUCAGGGCCUCUGCACCUGCAGUUCCUGCUGCCCGUGUGAAGAAUGGACACCCUCUCCCCUCCAGGCACCUCAGCCAAGGAACGCAGGAGCCUCUAGAAGCUGGAAAAGCUGGGGAACGGAUUCUCCCCUAAAGCCUCCAGAAGGAGCCGGCCCUGCUGACACCUUGAUUUGGUUAAUCCAAUGAGACCUGAGUGAGACUUUGUACAUUCAGCACUAGAAGGUCAUAGCUUUGCGUGCUUUGAAGCCACUGAGUUUGUGGUAAUUUGUUACAAGAGCCCCAAGAAGCCAAUAUAGUCAUACAGCCAGCAUUGGAAAGCCAGGAUCUGCUGCCUGAGGACAACUCUAGAAUCAGUGCUACGUUAUCCUACAUUGGGCUGGGAAAUAAGGAACUUGAUCUGCUACGUACCAGAAUAGGAAAGGAGCAUCAGUUCAUCCUCAUAAACCUAAUUUCUAGUCUUUCAUCCCUAACAUUGUAGUUACCAAACAAUCUCGUAGCACUUGACCUUCACAAAAACAAAAAUUCAUCUGGUUGGGAAAGGCAUAUUCUCAACGUACUGCUGGAAGGCCAUCUGCUACUUGUCCUGGGUUUAAAAUAGGCACAUUCUGACACAGCGUUCCUUCCUAUGAAUUUAUCCCAAGAAAAUAAUCAGACACGAAUGCAAAGCAUUUUGGAAGAGAAGAGUCGCAGCGUUGUUUAUAAUAAGAAAAAGUCAAAAUAAUAAAUCUCCACCAAUAAAGGAACUGACAGCCACCGGCUUCAAGACAAGAAAGAGAUUACCUGGUAUCUUCCAGCGACACCUGACCAGAUUUUUCAUCCACAAUAAUUUUACAGUGAUCUCCAGAGACCAGUUUAUUGCCAGGGAAUGAAAGAUCACAACCUAAAACAGAGAGGGAUACAUUGGAUGUGACCGUGGGGACUGUGCACAAAAGUGCCCUUUGCUUAAUCAAAGCACGUGGUUGAAAAUCAGGACCCAUGGUAUAUGCACGGUGGGAGACAACCUAAUCAAGUAAGAUAGGAAGCAAUUUUUUAAAAAGCAUUUAUGUAUUAAUCCAAAGUAAAGAGACAGGGACUGUCUUGAACCUUUCUGACUCCCCAUUACCUAGAGGAUACCCCCAUAACACCUCUGGCUUCUUGGUGACAAUUUUACAACAUGCACAUAUGUGCAGCUACCCUGAUAAAAGCAGAAGUUUAAAAAAACUAAGGGGCUUAGUUACGUAAUUCUUCAUCUUAUGUCAGUCCUUAAUUUCUUUUCCGUGUAAUCUAAGGUUUCAAAAAUCAUCACAAAAUUGAAGCGAGGACCAAGACUCACAGAAAACAUGACUGAGCAAAUUACAGACACAUGAACACGCUUGAGAAAAUUUAAAACAGAAGGUGGAUGCAUCUACACACAAUGAUCUGAAUACAGUCAUUAUAUCCUCAUUAAAUGCAAGGGGGAAAUCCUUAAAUACUGUGUUCUCUCCUUAAACCAGAGGAAUAAAAGUUUUCAGGAGUUUUUACUAUCUAAUCGUGAAUUUGCUUAUAAGACAUUUAUACUAUAGCUACUAAGGUUUAUAGCUUUAUUUUUAAUAAGUAAAAACGGGAAGCAAUAUAAGUAAGUGUCCAUCAACUGGUGGUGAAUUAAAAAACAAACUGUGGGGAAAAAAACAAACUGUGGUACAUCCAAACAGUGGACUACUACACAGCAUCAAACAGAAAUACAUUACUGAAACACAAAACAGCCUAAAAUGAAUCUCAAAAGGAUUAUGUCAGAGAAAAGAAGCCAUACACAGACUAUGGUGGAAUAUUGUGUGAUUCCACUUAGGUGACAUUCUGGAAAGGCAGAAUGACAGGGAUAGAAAUUAGACAGAUGGCUGCCAGAGCUAGGGGUGAGAGGAGGGGGCUGAUCCAAAGGACCACCAGGGAACUUUCUGGGGUGAUGGAAAUGUUCUGCACCGGACUGCAGUAGUGAUUCCAUUUCUCAACACUCACUCAACACCUAUAACGGGAUGAAUUUUACCAUAUGUGAACUACACCUCCCUAAACCUCAAGUAGUAGAAAUCUUAUUUGCACGUUUUAUAUUAUGGGAAGUGCUUUGCUACAUUUACGCAGGGUCAACUUCCCCUAUGCUCAGGAUCUUCCCAGCAUACUGGGCACAAGAAGCAGGACAGUUUCUUUGCAGCCCCAGACCUAGCCCUAGUGACCGUGCCACUGGGAUGGGAUUUUAACAAGCUUCUCCACACCAAGAACAUGAGCUUUCUAAUUUGGAUCCAAGAUACUCGUGCUAAGUUCUAUUCUUGGCAUCUGCCCUGUAUGUAAUUCACUUGGUUAAAUCUGUCACAUGGCUGGUGCACACUGCUCCCACUCCCCGAGGAUGGGAAGCUCCCUGGGAAACACAGGUCAACUCAGCUCUGCCUUUAUCCUCGGAAUAAUGCCUUAUAUGUAGCAGGCACACUACUGUUUUAAAAUAAGUAUAACCACGUUCUACAACUCUUAAGGAAUGUUUGUGUCUCCCCCAAAUUCCCAUGUUAAAGGCCUGAACCCCCAUAUGACUGUAGGGACAGGGCCUGUAAGGAGGAAUAAAGGUUAAAUGAAAUCACUAGGACUGAUGCCCUUAUAAGAGAAGGAAGUGGAAGAGACACCAACGUUGUGUGUGGCCUGUGAGGAUGAGGAAGUCUACAAUCCAGGACAAAGACUCAGCAAGAAACAAAUUGACUAGCACCUUAAUCUUGGACUUCUUGCACUUAACGACUGUGAAAAAUAAAUUUCUGUUCCUUAAGCUUCCUGGUCUGUAGUGUUUUGUUAUAGCAGCCUGAGCAGACCAACAGGGCAACUUCUAUUUCCCCGGAGAGCUCAAUACAUUCACCAAAAGGUCUUCUUUUUAAGAUUAAUUCAACAACCCCUUUUUGCUCCUCGUAUUAACAUGUAAAAUGAUAUAUAAUACUGUGUUGUAAUAACAAUGGUUAAUGUUAUUUGCUAACUCUAAGCCAGGCUCCUUUAAGCAUUUCCCACAUUUGAUCUCAAUUAUCCUUCAGGAACUCUAGGAAGGACGUACAAAGGAGGUACAAAGUCCUUAGUCCAGACCAAAGAAGCU